This 322-nucleotide ribosomal RNA is filed under the name uncultured eukaryote. RNAcentral describes it as "partial 18S ribosomal RNA". It matches the Rfam family "Eukaryotic small subunit ribosomal RNA", at positions 1470 to 1796 of the family's 1831-position model. The record is from RNAcentral.
CCCUUAGAUGUUCUGGGCCGCACGCGCGCUACACUGAUGCGUUCAACAAGUUUCCUUGGCCGAGAGGCCUGGGCAAUCUUCUUAAUAUGUAUCGUGGUAGGGAUAGAUUAUUGCAAUUAUUAAUCUUGAACGAGGAAUUCCUAGUAAACGCAGAUCAUCAAUCUGCAUUGAUUACGUCCCUGCCCUUUGUACACACCGCCCGUCGCACCUACCGAUUGGAUGUUCCGGUGAAGCCUCGGGAUGAGGACUGGUGCCUUUAUUGGCAUGAGUUGUUCAGAACUUGUCUAAACCUUAUCAUCUAGAGGAAGGUGAAGUCGUAACA